RNAcentral lists this ribosomal RNA (492 nucleotides) under uncultured bacterium. RNAcentral's name for it is "partial 16S ribosomal RNA". It matches the Rfam family "Bacterial small subunit ribosomal RNA", at positions 29 to 507 of the family's 1533-position model. The record is from RNAcentral.
AGUGAACGCUGGCGGUAGGCCUAACACAUGCAAGUCGAACGGCAGCACAGUAAGAGCUUGCUCUUACGGGUGGCGAGUGGCGGACGGGUGAGGUAUACAUCGGAAUCUACUUUUUCGUGGGGGAUAACGUAGGGAAACUUACGCUAAUACCGCAUACGACCUACGGGUGAAAGCAGGGGAUCUUCGGACCUUGCGCGAUUGAAUGAGCCGAUGUCGGAUUAGCUAGUUGGCGGGGCAAAGGCCCACCAAGGCGACGAUCCGUAGCUGGUCUGAGAGGAUGAUCAGCCACACUGGAACUGAGACACGGUCCAGACUCCUACGGGAGGCAGCAGUGGGGAAUAUUGGACAAUGGGCGCAAGCCUGAUCCAGCCAUACCGCGUGGGUGAAGAAGGCCUUCGGGUUGUAAAGCCCUUUUGUUGGGAAAGAAAAGCAGCAGGUUAAUACCCCGCUGUUCUGACGGUACCCAAAGAAUAAGCACCGGCUAACUUCGUG